AGCAGGUGAGUGCAGAUAGGGUAGACAGAGCAGGUGAGUGCAGAUAGGGUAGACAGAGCAGGUGAGUGCAGAUAGGGUAGACAGAGCAGGUGAGUGCAGAUAGGGAAGACAGAGCAGGUGAGUGCAGAUAGGGUAGACAGAGCAGGUGAGUGCAGAUAGGAUAGACAGAGCAGGUGAGUGCAGAUAGGGUAGACAGAGCAGGUGAGUGCAGAUAGGGUAGACAGAGCAGGUGAGUGCAGGUAGGGUAGACAGAGCAGGUGAGUGCAGAUAGGAUAGACAGAGCAGGUGAGUGCAGAUAGGGUAGACAGAGCAGGUGAGUGCAGGUAGGGUAGACAGAGCAGGUGAGUGCAGGUAGGAUAGACAGAGCAGGUGAGUGCAGGUAGGGUAGACAGAGCAGGUGAGUGCAGGUAGGGUAGACAGAGCAGGUGAGUGCAGAUAGGAUAGACAGAGCAGGUGAGUGCAGGUAGGGUAGACAGAGCAGGUGAGUGCAGGUAGGGUAGACAGAGCAGGUGAGUGCAGGUAGGGUAGACAGAGCAGGUGAGUGCAGGUAGGGUAGACAGAGCAGGUGAGUGCAGGUAGGGUAGACAGAGCAGGUGAGUGCAGGUAGGGUAGACAGAGCAGGU
Oncorhynchus keta (chum salmon) is the source of this 623-nucleotide long non-coding RNA. RefSeq lists it as uncharacterized. The transcript is spliced from 3 exons. The record is from RefSeq and is a predicted model, not a curated record. NCBI's taxonomy places the organism in Eukaryota, Metazoa, Chordata, Actinopteri, Salmoniformes, Salmonidae.